ACGGAGGAUCCAAGCGUUAUCCGGAAUCAUUGGGUUUAAAGGGUCCGUAGGUGGUUUAUUAAGUCAGAGGUGAAAUCCCAUAGCUUAACUAUGGAACUGCCUUUGAUACUGAUAGACUUGAGUUAUUGUGAAGUAGUUAGAAUGUGUAGUGUAGCGGUGAAAUGCAUAGAUAUUACACAGAAUACCGAUUGCGAAGGCAGAUUACUAACAAUAUACUGACACUGAGGGACGAAAGCGUGGGUAGCGAACAGG
This 252-nucleotide ribosomal RNA is filed under the name uncultured bacterium. RNAcentral's name for it is "partial 16S ribosomal RNA". It matches the Rfam family "Bacterial small subunit ribosomal RNA", at positions 525 to 776 of the family's 1533-position model. The record is from RNAcentral.